CAAGUCGGCCGGACGGCCGCGGGCGUUCGCGCUCGAGGAAAGUCCGGGCUCCACAGAGCAUGGCGCUGGGUAACACCCAGUCGGGGCGACCCGAAGGAGAGUGCCACAGAAAAGACACAGCCGAGGCGUGAGUCGCGGCGACGGUGAAAUGGUGGGGUAAGAGCCCACCGGCGGCCGGGUGACCGGCCGGCCAGGUAAACCCCGCUUGGAGCAAGGCCGAACAGGGACGGGCGGUGCGCCGCCCAGGGGUUGCUCGCCCCGUGUCCCGGGUAGUGCCGCUUGACGUCCCGGGCAACCGGUGACGCAGAUGGAUGGCCGUCCCGCAUCGCUGGGGAGCGGCGGCCCGCGAGGGCCGUGAACGAGGCGAUGCGGACAGAACCCGGCUUAUAGGCCGGCUUGCACG
Molecule: RNase P RNA, 403 nt
Filed under: Myxococcota bacterium
Lineage: Bacteria; Pseudomonadati; Myxococcota
Description: RNase P RNA component class A
Rfam family: Bacterial RNase P class A
About the family: Ribonuclease P (RNase P) is a ubiquitous endoribonuclease, found in archaea, bacteria and eukarya as well as chloroplasts and mitochondria. Its best characterised activity is the generation of mature 5'-ends of tRNAs by cleaving the 5'-leader elements of precursor-tRNAs.
Source: RNAcentral